GCUUUAAAUUGUCAUGAAUUCGUCAUGAUUUGUACAUCAAGUAUAUACAGUAUUCGUGAGUCUCCGGAAUUAUUCAGAUGUAUAAAUUACAAUGUCUAUCUCGAUUUACAUAUUUUCUCAUAUACCCCGAAAACGUAUCACGUGUUACAUAACAACCGUUUUGGUUUUAUUACCGAACGAGUGCCGCACCAGUGAAAUAAUAUACAAAAUGUAUUUUGCUGAUUGUAAGGCUUCGACGUCAAGGUCAUUAGACUGUGUACGGGUUUUGCGGUGUUGAUAUGAUUUUAUAAGCAUCUUCAAAAUACUUGUUUAUGAUAUUAAGAAUCAAGUUUAGCCCGAAGUAAUAUAAGAUUGCAAUUGGACUGCAGUGUGCGGAUUCAUUCUUGAUCAUUCAUGACUGACAUAACAAUAUAGGUACAACGUUUUCAUUGUUUUCGUCGUAUUGUAACUUCAUUCCAUAACGUUUAUGUGUCAAACCACGUGUUGGCGCACUAGCUUGAGAACGCCGCCGCCGCCGCCGCCGCCGCCGCUGCCGCCGAACGUCCGCCUCUUCCUUAUUCCACAACCGCAACCGAUUAACACACACCAAGUCGUCCCAAGUCGUCUUACAUGGUGCAGGCGCCUAAUCUACUUACCGGAAACGCCGUCGUCGUCCCGAUCGACGAACAUAAUUCUGCCAAUACAAUCCGUUCAUAUCGGAGGUAAUAACUUUCCAAAUACCAUACACGUCCGUUUAAGUACAGGUGCAACACGCGACCGCUGAUGGAAUGCUUCUUGUCAAGGUGUCCCUCGGCCCGUCGUUCGAAGUAGAAAAUCCGUGUUUUUAGUCACGUUUCCACGUCGCCACCACUUUAGUGAUACAACGACUUGGAAGUUUGCGUACGGAUGCUCAUUAACACAAUUCUAGAAUUCAACAGGAUUACAAUUUAAAUAAUCUGCCGAAAGAUUUAUAAAAUGGAAGAAAAUAAUGCGUCAACAGUAAAGCAAGGGAUGACCGGAGAUGAUUCAGGUUAUUCGUGUACAUCGGAUCUAUCAAAAAGCAGAUUUUUUUUCAGUAAUAGCAGCAAAUCUCGUCACAGUCAAAGCGCUUCUAGCAGAGACAGUUGUUUCGAAGAUCGAAGUUCGCCAACAUUAAAGUCAAACGAAGAUGGUAAAAGUUCCACGACGAUCUCUAAAUCUUCCGAAGAACCAGCAACACCAGUAAUAAUAAAAAACGUAUCCGAUGAUUCGGAAACAACGACGGCCAACCAGGAAGAAACAAACAGUGGCAGUUCAGAACCCGAACAAAUAGUCAUAAACGGUUUCGACCCACAGAUCAGCGAUAUUUUUGCAAUAGACAAUUUGAAACAACCGUCUUCGAAACAAGAAUCAGAGGCAGACAAGUGCCAUGCAAAAGACGAGCCCAAAGAAGACCAGGAUCGCGACAAUGGAGCUUUACUGCAAUUGGCUUCUCUGUGUCAGUCUUUCCGCGACUACUUGAAAACGAAACCCGAUUCCGCAUACACUAGUGAGAAGGCAUUAAAAGAACUCAACGAUCACGAGAUUCAGCUGAAAGAAAUCAUCGAGUCCAAUGAGACCAUUGACGACUCUUUCGGCGUGGUCGUGUCCAUGACCAACGGCAUGAUUGUCAACACGUCCAAUAGUAUACUUAAGAACUUGGGUUACCCCAAAGAUAUGUGGCAAGGGCGAUCGUUUAUUGAAUUUAUACAUCCUAAAGACAGAAUAUCGUUCAUCAGCUACAUGACAUCCGUGCUGACCAAUCCUUCAAUGGUCUCCGGACGAGAUGGUAAAUCCACUGUGACUUUUCUGCGAGCUAAAACCAACGACGGAUUCUAUUGCAAUAUGCGGAGAUACAAAGACCUAAACGCCGGAUUUUCAGUAGUUUCCAAAAAAAUACAUUACCAAGUAUGCAAGCUCACCAUUGCGUUUAAAGAGACCACAGACACCACGUGUCUCGUCGAGAUCAUAGCCUUACACCAACCGCAGUUACUACUGAUCAUCAAAGCACAACUAAUACACUCCGCAUACACUUGUCCCGAAGAAAGAAAAAAAAACCCUGUGAAUUUCAUCACCAAGCACAACGCUCUGUUGGAGUGGUGCUACGUUGACCAACUGAUAAUCUCGCAUUUUGGUUAUUUGCCACAAAAUUUAAUUGGUAGAUCUGUAUUCGACUAUUACAAUAUCGACGACUUGUCGAUUAUAAAGGAAAUUUAUGAAAACAUGAGCAAAGCUAGGAAUGUACCAUACAAAGGUAAACCGUACAGAUUCAAGUGCCAAAACGGCGAUUUCGCGUUGGUGCAAACCGAGUGGUCAAAUUUCGUUAACCCCUGGUCUGGACGGGUAGAGUUCAUAAUUGGCCGCCAUAAAGUCAUACAGGGUCCUCUCAAUCCCGACGUCACUACACCCGUCGAAGAUGUGUCGUCCGAAAAAGCAGCGGAAGACAGGAAACAUUCAAAAGAAGUGUCCGACGAGGUGAAACAAAUUCUUAAAAAGAAUUGUAUUGGAGCGACAAACGUUUUACAAAAACUUAAGUGUCCCGUGGAAACGGCCACAAAACUUAAACAACAGAUAUCGAACAAAUGUAAAGAUUUGGCGUUAUUUAUGAAUUUUCUGGUGGACGGCAUAGACCCGGCGAUACAAGUGCCGCUACAAGUGGAAAUACAACCCGAAACGUGCGAAAGUUUUUCUGACCACGAUUCCGUGAUGCUGGGAGAAAUAUCUCCACAUCAUAAUCAUGAAAGUAAAUCUAGUUCCGGCACACCGCCAAGUUAUACACAACUUAACUAUAACGACAACAUACAAAGAUUUUUCGAAAGCAACAUAAUUAGAAUACCGUCGGAGGCCAGCGUGGAUAGCUAUCCGAAGGCUACUAGCCAGGACGACGUUAUACUGCUAGAGAAGAACUUUGGCAAGCGCACCACAGAUGGGUUGUUGUUGAUGGAAAAACCGUCGUCGAUGGCAAACCACGCCUGCAAACAAGAAUCGUCCAGUUAUUAUUCGGAGCAGAAACCGUCUCACAUUAAUCAACCGCCGCUGACUCAAGCAAUGCUACUCCGCCACAACAAAAAAAUGGAAAACGAUCUUGUGAAACAGCACAAGACCAAUGCAAAACGUUUCAAGUCUGUCGAAAAACUAAAAAAGACCGCACAAGAAGAGCACAACGAUACCUCCGAUACUACUCACGGUGUGAAACGGAGCCACUCGAGCAUUCACGAAGGCAAAACGGCAAAACAGAGAAAACGUUUGCUGGUCAACCACCCGACUACGAUGAACGCGCAGACACAGGAUAGCGAAACGUCACCUAUGACUCCUACCGUGGCCAGGUCCACGCAAAUUUGGCCUCCCUGUCUAAUAAGUAGAGAUUCGCAAACAAUGGUCGACAUUCCGAACCCCAUAGUUCCCAAUCAGAUACUCUACUACAAGUUGCCACUGAGCAAUAACGUGAUGCCGGAGAGCCCGAUGGAUGAAGACAUCAACGCCUGUAGUGCCCUGGUAACGCCGAACAGCAAAGUUCAAGAAACCUUAAUAGGGCAGUUAAAACCAAUAGCAGUACCUUUAAUGGCUACCAUACCAGCAUUAAAUCAAAUUACACAAGACACUCAAAUAUUUCAACCAUAUUUACUCUUGCAAAAUCAGUCAUUUGUUCAACAGCCGUACAAUCAUAUUGCUCAGUAUCUAACAAAACUAGAUGACCACAGUGAGAAACCUCACAUCAUGAAAUCAGACCAGGCUCAGAAGAAAACGAAAGAGUCACAAGCACACCAAGAAGAGGUAGUGACGAGUUCCGAAUCGGAAUGUAGGCGAGAGAUUGGCAGUUUGAAAUCUAGUAAUGGUUGGAUUUUCGAAGAUAGUAGUCUGUACUCGUCGAGCGUAAGGGACAAGACCGACAGCUUUAAAAGUUACAUUAGUAGUGGAAAAGAUGACUUAUCGUGGCAAAACGACAUUGGUUUAGCUAAUAUCCGCCAACAGUUUAUUAAAAAGCAACCGUUUUGGAUGGAAGGCAUAGUGGCAACUCCAGAACUAAUAUUUCGCUAUCAGAUGCAACCUAGAGAUAUCAACGAAGUACUACAACAAGACAUGAAUGCGUUAAACGAACUCACUCAACCUAUAUUGGUUAGUGAACAGUUGCAACAGCUAUAUAUGGAAGUAAACGUGAAUGCGGCUGAGUCGAAACCAUUGAUGGUCGAAGAUGAAACUUCUUCGAGUAGUAGCGAUGAAUGUUUAAUUUCCAUUGGCGUGAAAAAAAAAUGAUAAGAACGACUUCAGCAAAAUGGCUAUGAUGUACGAAGAAAAUGCUCCAUUACCACCACCGAUCGAUAUACUCACACGAAAUGUUUGAGAGGUGUUCAAUAACCAAACUUGAAACUACCAAAUAGAUUUUGGACUUCGUCGAAGAUAAGAAGCAUAUUAUUCGCUCCUUAAAUUUGGUUUAUGUAUGUUGAAUAGCAUUAUUUAGUUUUAAGAUUACCUUUUAUGUUAUUAUUAGUAAAUUAGGUUACUAAUGCAAAGCAUAUUGCACAUUUUGUAACGAAGGCACUUGCCGACUAGGCAAUUAAAUGUUUUAUUAUUAUUA
RNA transcript from Adelges cooleyi (spruce gall adelgid), 4573 nucleotides. It is a transcript of the gene named period circadian protein, with no coding region annotated. NCBI's taxonomy places the organism in Eukaryota, Metazoa, Arthropoda, Insecta, Hemiptera, Adelgidae. The transcript has 28 exons. The record is from RefSeq and is a predicted model, not a curated record.